UCACGAGGUGGGCCCCCGAGGCGGCGCU
RNAcentral lists this small RNA (28 nucleotides) under Bombyx mori (domestic silkworm). RNAcentral describes it as "ovarian small RNA-25253". The record is from RNAcentral. Lineage: Eukaryota; Metazoa; Arthropoda; Insecta; Lepidoptera; Bombycidae.